UGUAGUUUUUAUGUAUGGACAUUUAUUUAGUGCUAAGACAUGGUUAGAAAGUGUGUAAUUUGUAAAGUUUUAUUUAAAAAAUGAGAGCAGCGGACUUUUCACAGAUUUCCUAAGAAUUUGGAACGGAGAAACUUGUGGAAGCUCUCCCUAGGUGAUGUCAAUAUUGUCGACAACAUUUUUGUUUGUUCUGAUCAUUUUGUGAUUAAUGAUUUUCUGACAAAGCCAUCAGGUAUAAAGUACUUGCUAGAGACAGCUAUUCCAAUAAUAGGUUCUACUUAUAGCAGAUCAAACAGUUCUAAUAAGGAAAAUAUUUAUCAAUGAUGUUCCUACUGGACAGUCACUGCACUUGCCGCAACAAAAACCAGAAAAUAUAUCCACAUGUUCAUCGUCAUCGACAUUGAGUGCUCAAUCAGGCUUGUUAUUUACUACAAAUAAGGCUGCAGAUCUUUCUGAAAUAUAUUUUUAAUUUGAUGACACAUCACGAAAACAUAGAUCAACAUUAACUGCAUCAGAAAUAGGAAUGGAUUCACCCAAUCGUAAUAAAAUUAUAAACGUGAAGUCAUUUAUUUACACUCAUCAUAGUGUUUGGCUUCGGAUUCUUACCCGUUACGUACUUACUAUCAAACUUAUUUCAACAUCCUACAUCAGGAUACAUAAAUUUGAUAGCAAUUAAUUUAAUGACAGGACCAAUAGCCGAAUAUGUUAUUCAAUCUGUAGCACUUUCAAUGGAGAGGUUAGGAAAUAUUUUUCAGGGGAUUUUUC
Long non-coding RNA from Anoplophora glabripennis (Asian longhorned beetle), 762 nucleotides. RefSeq lists it as uncharacterized. The transcript has 5 exons. NCBI's taxonomy places the organism in Eukaryota, Metazoa, Arthropoda, Insecta, Coleoptera, Cerambycidae. The record is from RefSeq and is a predicted model, not a curated record.